RNAcentral lists this ribosomal RNA (924 nucleotides) under Staphylococcus aureus. RNAcentral describes it as "bacterial SSU rRNA". It matches the Rfam family "Bacterial small subunit ribosomal RNA", at positions 96 to 1006 of the family's 1533-position model. Lineage: Bacteria; Bacillati; Bacillota; Bacilli; Caryophanales; Staphylococcaceae. The record is from RNAcentral.
CGGCGGACGGGUGAGUAACACGUGGAUAACCUACCUAUAAGACUGGGAUAACUUCGGGAAACCGGAGCUAAUACCGGAUAAUAUUUUGAACCGCAUGGUUCAAAAGUGAAAGACGGUCUUGCUGUCACUUAUAGAUGGAUCCGCGCUGCAUUAGCUAGUUGGUAAGGUAACGGCUUACCAAGGCAACGAUGCAUAGCCGACCUGAGAGGGUGAUCGGCCACACUGGAACUGAGACACGGUCCAGACUCCUACGGGAGGCAGCAGUAGGGAAUCUUCCGCAAUGGGCGAAAGCCUGACGGAGCAACGCCGCGUGAGUGAUGAAGGUCUUCGGAUCGUAAAACUCUGUUAUUAGGGAAGAACAUAUGUGUAAGUAACUGUGCACAUCUUGACGGUACCUAAUCAGAAAGCCACGGCUAACUACGUGCCAGCAGCCGCGGUAAUACGUAGGUGGCAAGCGUUAUCCGGAAUUAUUGGGCGUAAAGCGCGCGUAGGCGGUUUUUUAAGUCUGAUGUGAAAGCCCACGGCUCAACCGUGGAGGGUCAUUGGAAACUGGAAAACUUGAGUGCAGAAGAGGAAAGUGGAAUUCCAUGUGUAGCGGUGAAAUGCGCAGAGAUAUGGAGGAACACCAGUGGCGAAGGCGACUUUCUGGUCUGUAACUGACGCUGAUGUGCGAAAGCGUGGGGAUCAAACAGGAUUAGAUACCCUGGUAGUCCACGCCGUAAACGAUGAGUGCUAAGUGUUAGGGGGUUUCCGCCCCUUAGUGCUGCAGCUAACGCAUUAAGCACUCCGCCUGGGGAGUACGACCGCAAGGUUGAAACUCAAAGGAAUUGACGGGGACCCGCACAAGCGGUGGAGCAUGUGGUUUAAUUCGAAGCAACGCGAAGAACCUUACCAAAUCUUGACAUCCUUUGACAACUCUAGAGA